Molecule: non-coding RNA, 83 nt
Filed under: pig gut metagenome
Source: RNAcentral
GGUAAGUAGUAACAACGAACUGCGAGAAGUCAGCCGAAGCCAUAGUACCCGGGAAAAAAAAAUCGGCACGUUCGGGGAAGGGC